This 84-nucleotide ribozyme is filed under the name unclassified sequences. RNAcentral describes it as "HDV ribozyme from F. prausnitzii". It matches the Rfam family "HDV ribozyme from F. prausnitzii". The record is from RNAcentral.
GCUGCUCGUAAUAAUCACACACCUCUUCGUGGUGAGCAGCAGGCAACGAUCUUAUUUGUGAGUAUGGUCGGUUAAGAUGCGUGG